Molecule: ribosomal RNA, 115 nt
Filed under: uncultured bacterium
Lineage: Bacteria
Description: partial 16S ribosomal RNA
Rfam family: Bacterial small subunit ribosomal RNA
Source: RNAcentral
UACGUUCCCGGGUCUUGUACACACCGCCCGUCACACCAUGGGAGCGGGUUUUACCAGAAGUAGGUAGCUUAACCGCAAGGGGGGCGCUUACCACGGUAGGAUUCGUGACUGGGUG